RNAcentral lists this ribosomal RNA (663 nucleotides) under Salmonella enterica subsp. enterica serovar Kentucky. RNAcentral describes it as "partial 23S ribosomal RNA". It matches the Rfam family "Bacterial large subunit ribosomal RNA", at positions 1095 to 1757 of the family's 2925-position model. Lineage: Bacteria; Pseudomonadati; Pseudomonadota; Gammaproteobacteria; Enterobacterales; Enterobacteriaceae. The record is from RNAcentral.
AGGAUGUUGGCUUAGAAGCAGCCAUCAUUUAAAGAAAGCGUAAUAGCUCACUGGUCGAGUCGGCCUGCGCGGAAGAUGUAACGGGGCUAAACCAUGCACCGAAGCUGCGGCAGCGACGCUGAUGCGUUGUUGGGUAGGGGAGCGUUCUGUAAGCCUGUGAAGGUGGCCUGUGAGGGUUGCUGGAGGUAUCAGAAGUGCGAAUGCUGACAUAAGUAACGAUAAAGCGGGUGAAAAGCCCGCUCGCCGGAAGACCAAGGGUUCCUGUCCAACGUUAAUCGGGGCAGGGUGAGUCGACCCCUAAGGCGAGGCCGAAAGGCGUAGUCGAUGGGAAACGGGUUAAUAUUCCCGUACUUGGUGUUACUGCGAAGGGGGGACGGAGAAGGCUAUGUUGGCCGGGCGACGGUUGUCCCGGUUUAAGCGUGUAGGUGUGUGUUCCAGGUAAAUCCGGUUCACUUUAACACUGAGGCGUGAUGACGAGGCACUACGGUGCUGAAGCAACAAAUGCCCUGCUUCCAGGAAAAGCCUCUAAGCAUCAGGUAACAUCAAAUCGUACCCCAAACCGACACAGGUGGUCAGGUAGAGAAUACCAAGGCGCUUGAGAGAACUCGGGUGAAGGAACUAGGCAAAAUGGUGCCGUAACUUCGGGAGAAGGCACGCUGACAC